GUGAGGAAUAUUGGUCAAUGGGCGAGAGCCUGAACCAGCCAAGUAGCGUGAAGGAUGAAGGUCCUACGGAUUGUAAACUUCUUUUAUACGGGAAUAAAGUUUCCUACGUGUAGGAUUUUGUAUGUACCGUAUGAAUAAGCAUCGGCUAACUCCGUGCCAGCAGCCGCGGUAAUACGGAGGAUCCGAGCGUUAUCCGGAUUUAUUGGGUUUAAAGGGAGCGCAGACGGGUCGUUAAGUCAGCUGUGAAAGUUUGGGGCUCAACCUUAAAAUUGCAGUUGAUACUGGCGUCAUUGAGUGCGGUUGAGGUGUGCGGAAUUCGUGGUGUAGCGGUGAAAUGCUUAGAUAUCACGAAGAACUCCGAUUGCGAAGGCAGCACACUAAUCCGUAACUGACGUUCAUGCUCGAAAGUGUGGGUAUCAAACAGGAUUAGAUACCCUAGUAGUCC
Molecule: ribosomal RNA, 445 nt
Filed under: uncultured bacterium
Lineage: Bacteria
Description: partial 16S ribosomal RNA
Rfam family: Bacterial small subunit ribosomal RNA
Source: RNAcentral